Molecule: ribosomal RNA, 253 nt
Filed under: uncultured bacterium
Lineage: Bacteria
Description: partial 16S ribosomal RNA
Rfam family: Bacterial small subunit ribosomal RNA
Source: RNAcentral
GACAGAGGGUGCGAACGUUGUUCGGAAUUACUGGGCGUAAAGCGUAUGUAGGCGGCAGCGCAAGUCGGGCGUGAAAUCCCACGGCUCAACCGUGGAAGUGCACUCGAAACUGCGCAGCUAGAGUCCUGGAGAGGAAGGUGGAAUGCUUGGUGUAGAGGUGAAAUUCGUAGAUAUCAAGCGGAACACCGGUGGCGAAGGCGGCCUUCUGGACAGUGACUGACGCUGAGAUGCGAAAGCGUGGGGAGCAAACAGG